UAAAAGGCUAUGACGGAAAAGAGUAAGCUGGUUUCCAGGUGAAAAAGCGAGUCCGGUUUGGUGAAAGCGGACACUAUGGCCCAGUUGAAAAUCGUUCCAGAGCCGCCAUCCGAAAGGGCUGCCCCAGGCUGUCCGAGUAAGCAUGGCCGGGUCCGCCGCCCGUUAAGCAAGGCGAAGAUGUGAAUACGCAUCUUACCGAGUGGGCCGUCCUUAAAACACGGUCAAGAAGGGUGGUAUCGCGGGCUUGUCUCGUCCCUAUU
RNAcentral lists this non-coding RNA (260 nucleotides) under Chloroflexota bacterium. Its description in RNAcentral is "Chloroflexi bacterium T-box sequence". It matches the Rfam family "T-box leader". From Rfam's summary of the family: Uncharged tRNA acts as the effector for transcription antitermination of genes in the T-box leader family. T-boxes are found upstream of many aminoacyl-tRNA synthetase genes and some amino acid biosynthetic genes usually in Gram-positive bacteria. Lineage: Bacteria; Bacillati; Chloroflexota. The record is from RNAcentral.